GAUGGUUUAGUGGCGGACGGGUGAGUAACACGUGAGCAACCUACCUUUCAGAGGGGGAUAACAGUUGGAAACGACUGCUAAUACCGCAUAACGUUGUAAAAGGGCAUCCAUUUACAACCAAAAGAGAAAUCUGCUGAACCAUGGGCUCGCGGCCGAUUAGAUAGUAGGCGGGGUAACGGCCCACCUAGUCAACGAUCGGUAGCCGGACUGAGAGGUUGAACGGCCACAUUGGGACUGAGACACGGCCCAGACUCCUACGGGAGGCAGCAGUGGGGGAUAUUGCACAAUGGGCGAAAGCCUGAUGCAGCGACGCCGCGUGAGGGAAGACGGUCUUCGGAUUGUAAACCUCUGUCUUUGGGGAAGAAUAGAGACGGUACCCAAAGAGGAAGCUCCGGCUAACUACGUGCCAGCAGCCGCGGUAAUACGUAGGGAGCGAGCGUUGUCCGGAAUUACUGGGUGUAAAGGGAGCGUAGGCGGGCUUGUAAGUUGAAUGUCUAAUCCACCGGCUCAACCGGUGAUCGCGUUCAAAACUGCAGGUCUUGAGUGAAGUAGAGGCAGGCGGAAUUCCUAUUGUAGCGGUGAAAUGC
Molecule: ribosomal RNA, 587 nt
Filed under: uncultured bacterium
Lineage: Bacteria
Description: bacterial SSU rRNA
Rfam family: Bacterial small subunit ribosomal RNA
Source: RNAcentral